GACGAACGCUGGCGGCGUGCUUAACACAUGCAAGUCGAACGGAAAGGCUCUGCUUUUGUGGGGUGCUCGAGUGGCGAUCGGGUGAGUAACACGUGAGUAACCUGCCCUUGACUUUGGGAUAACUUCAGGAAACUGGGGCUAAUACCGGAUAGGAGCUCCCGGUGCUUGGUGGGGGUUGGAAAGAUUCGGCGGUUGGGGAUGGAUUCGCGGCUUCUCAGCUUGUCGGUGGGGUAGUGGUUUACGAAGGCAUCGACGGGUAGCCGGCCUGAGAGGAUGACCGGCGACAAUCGCCCUGAGAUACGGCCCAGACGGCUACAGGAGGAAGCAGUGGAGAAUAUUCCACAGUAAGAGCAAGCAAGAUACAGCAACGCUCCGAGCGGGAUGACGGCCUAUGGGUUGUAAACCAAUUUGGCCUGUGAAAACGAGUGCGUGACGGUAAGGAGUAAGAAAGCAACGGCUAACUACGUG
This 468-nucleotide ribosomal RNA is filed under the name uncultured bacterium. Its description in RNAcentral is "partial 16S ribosomal RNA". It matches the Rfam family "Bacterial small subunit ribosomal RNA", at positions 28 to 507 of the family's 1533-position model. The record is from RNAcentral.